GAAUGGGGGCACCUGCCUAGGUCACAUACUGUCAAAACUACAAGCUACAGAAUGGGGGCACCUGCCUAGGUCACAUACUGUCAAAACUACAAGCUACAGAAUGGGGGCACCUGCCUAGGUCACAUACUGUCAAAACUACAAGCUACAGAAUGGGGGCACCUGCCUAGGUCACAUACUGUCAAAACUACAAGCUACAGAAUGGGGGCACCUGCCUAGGUCACAUACUGUCAAAACUACAAGCUACAGAAUGGGGGCACCUGCCUAGGUCACAUACUGUCAAAACUACAAGCUACAGAAUGGGGGCACCUGCCUAGGUCACAUACUGUCAAAACUACAAGCUACAGAAUGGGGGCACCUGCCUAGGUCACAUACUGUCAAAACUACAAGCUACAGAAUGGGGGCACCUGCCUAGGUCACAUACUGUCAAAACUACAAGCUACAGAAUGGGGGCACCUGCCUAGGUCACAUACUGUCAAAACUACAAGCUACAGAAUGGGGGCACCUGCCUAGGUCACAUACUGUCAAAACUACAAGCUACAGAAUGGGGGCACCUGCCUAGGUCACAUACUGUCAAAACUACAAGCUACAGAAUGGGGGCACCUGCCUAGGUCACAUACUGUCAAAACUACAAGCUACAGAAUGGGGGCACCUGCCUAGGUCACAUACUGUCAAAACUACAAGCUACAGAAUGGGGGCACCUGCCUAGGUCACAUACUGUCAAAACUACAAGCUACAGAAUGGGGGCACCUGCCUAGGUCACAUACUGUCAAAACUACAAGCUACAGAAUGGGGGCACCUGCCUAGGUCACAUACUGUCAAAACUACAAGCUACAGAAUGGGGGCACCUGCCUAGGUCACAUACUGUCAAAACUACAAGCUACAGAAUGGGGGCACCUGCCUAGGUCACAUACUGUCAAAACUACAAGCUACAGAAUGGGGGCACCUGCCUA
Oncorhynchus keta (chum salmon) is the source of this 950-nucleotide long non-coding RNA. RefSeq lists it as uncharacterized. The record is from RefSeq and is a predicted model, not a curated record. The transcript has 3 exons. Lineage: Eukaryota; Metazoa; Chordata; Actinopteri; Salmoniformes; Salmonidae.